Molecule: ribosomal RNA, 428 nt
Filed under: uncultured bacterium
Lineage: Bacteria
Description: partial 16S ribosomal RNA
Rfam family: Bacterial small subunit ribosomal RNA
Source: RNAcentral
GUGGGGAAUAUUGGGCAAUGGGGGAAACCCUGACCCAGCAACGCCGCGUGAGGGAAGAAGGUUUUCGGAUUGUAAACCUCUGUCCUUGGUGACGAAGGAAGUGACGGUAACCAAGGAGGAAGCCCCGGCUAACUACGUGCCAGCAGCCGCGGUAAUACGUAGGGGGCAAGCGUUGUCCGGAAUGACUGGGCGUAAAGGGCGUGUAGGCGGCCGAUUAAGUCUGGAGUGAAAGUCCUGCUUUCAAGGUGGGAAUUGCUUUGAAGACUGGUUGGCUUGAGUGCGGAAGAGGUAAGUGGAAUUCCCAGUGUAGCGGUGAAAUGCGUAGAGAUUGGGAUGAACACCAGUGGCGAAGGCGACUUACUGGGCCGUAACUGACGCUGAGGCGCGAAAGCGUGGGGAGCGAACAGGAUUAGAAACCCCUGUAGUCC